RNAcentral lists this long non-coding RNA (633 nucleotides) under Saimiri boliviensis boliviensis (Bolivian squirrel monkey). RNAcentral describes it as "lncRNA (ENSSBOG00000036506.1)". Lineage: Eukaryota; Metazoa; Chordata; Mammalia; Primates; Cebidae. The record is from RNAcentral.
GCAACACUUGCUCACAAUCAGUGUUCACUGAAUGAAUGAAUGACCUGAUACCCUGUGUACAGCCUUGUCCUCUCUAACUCUUCCUCCAGGAGCUGCGGGGGGAUCUGGUGUCAGCAUCACUUUAACCCACCUGUCACUUCCUCCUGUGAACCCGAUCCUGGAGUGUUAAGCACUUAGUGUGACCACAAGGCCCUCUGGGCACAGACACCUGCCUCAGUCUGACUCCCUUUGCCACAACUUCUGCCUGCCUUGUCCCACUUCUGCUGCAGUGGGGUGCUGGCAACUCCCAGCGCUGAUGUCUUGACACAGCCAUUUCGUUCCUGGAAUGCCCCACCCUGAAGAUCUGAGAAAUACCUGCUCCACUCUCAAGCCUCACUUUAGCCAGCACCUCCUCUGGGACACCCUCCCUGAAGACCUUGUACAAGGAACAAGUUCACACAAACAGGACAUGGCUAGCCUGCUGCCAGGCAUCCUAGCUGGUCCUGGGAACUGAGCUGUAUGUUUUGAAGACAUGCUAGAAGAAGAGGAAGAGGAAGAGGAAGAAGAAGGAGGAGGAGGAAGAAGAGGAGGAGGAGGAGGAAAAGAAGGAGGAAAUAAAAAGGGGUAAGUUGCAUUUCUCCUGACAUGCCCAGA